Hippoglossus stenolepis (Pacific halibut) is the source of this 629-nucleotide long non-coding RNA. RefSeq lists it as uncharacterized. The transcript is spliced from 4 exons. NCBI's taxonomy places the organism in Eukaryota, Metazoa, Chordata, Actinopteri, Pleuronectiformes, Pleuronectidae. The record is from RefSeq and is a predicted model, not a curated record.
GGAGAGGAGGUGGAGGCUAUUAGCGGAGGAGCAGAGAUGGAGCCGGUGAAAUAAGCAAAGAAAUCCGUUCCUCGGUGUAACUUUAUUUGAGGAUCAGCUGCAAACCGCUGCUGAUGCUGAAGGGGUGCGCUUGAUUCACGCGUGCCCGGUUUCUGUGCACCACAACAAGCUGGCUGCCAGUCAAACAGCUGAUCAGCGCAUCUUCGAUUAUCUGACUUCCGAAGGUCCGCUCCUGCAGACGGGGGCGCGCACAUGUUCAUUUUAAUAGACGCGGCGAUGCUCGAGCUGCUCGAUGGAGGUCACAUUGCUGUCGAUGCGCACUGCUCCGUCCUUCUGUGCGCACGCUGGAGUAUUCUGUCCUGCACGCCCACUUGACACUUCCGAUUGGCCUAAGGAUGUGAAGAUAGGAAGAAACGUCAAAAAGAAAUAGGAACCAAAGUCUGUCUCGGGUUUGUCAGUUGUGAAAGGAGGAGGCGCAAACACUGAACAGGCAGCCAGAAAAAAAGGUGCCGAGUCUGGGGAAUCGACUCGUGACGAUGCAUCAACUGUGCGAGAGCCUGAAGAUGGCCGACCAUAAUUUCUGGCAUGUCAGAAAUUCAUCCAGCUGUCCAACAGCCGAUCGUGCGUCU